This 469-nucleotide ribosomal RNA is filed under the name uncultured actinomycete. RNAcentral describes it as "bacterial SSU rRNA". It matches the Rfam family "Bacterial small subunit ribosomal RNA", at positions 21 to 522 of the family's 1533-position model. The record is from RNAcentral. Lineage: Bacteria; Bacillati; Actinomycetota; Actinomycetes; Actinomycetales.
GGCUCAGAAUCAACGCUGGCGGCGCGCCUAACACAUGCAAGUCGCACGAGAAAGUGGAGCAAUCCAUGAGUAAAGUGGCGUACGGGUGAGUAACACGUGGAUCAUCUACCUCCUUGUGGGGAAUAACCAUGGGAAACCGUGGCUAAUACCGCAUAAGCUCGAGAGAGGAAAGCAGCAAUGCGCUGGGAGAGGAGUCCGCGGCCGAUUAGCUAGUUGGCAGGGUAAAAGCCUACCAAGGCAAAGAUCGGUAGCCGGCCUGAGAGGGCACACGGCCACACUGGCACUGAAACACGGGCCAGACUCCUACGGGAGGCAGCAGUGGGGAAUCUUGCACAAUGGGGGAAACCCUGAUGCAGCGACGCCGCGUGAGCGAUGAAGCCCUUCGGGGUGUAAAGCUCUUUCGGCAGGGAAGAUUAUGACGGUACCUGCAGAAGCAGCUGCGGCUAACUACGUGCCAGCAGCCGCGGUA